RNAcentral lists this ribosomal RNA (835 nucleotides) under uncultured bacterium. RNAcentral describes it as "bacterial SSU rRNA". It matches the Rfam family "Bacterial small subunit ribosomal RNA", at positions 56 to 885 of the family's 1533-position model. The record is from RNAcentral.
UGCAGUCGAGUGCGCAGUUCCCUGUAGCAAUACAGGGGAUGGGCGCACGGCGCACGGGUGCGUAACACGUGGGUAACCUGCCCUCCGAUGGGGGAUAACCCCGCGAAAGCGGGGCUAAUACCGCAUAACAUUCCGUUGAUUUCGAUUGACGGACUCAAAGCCCGCAAGGGCGUCGAAGGAGGGGCCCGCGCCCGAUUAGCUAGUUGGUGAGGUAAUGGCUCACCAAGGCGAUGAUCGGUAGCCGGUCUGAGAGGACGAUCGGCCACACUGGAACUGAGACACGGUCCAGACUCCUACGGGAGGCAGCAGUGGGGAAUCUUGCGCAAUGGGCGAAAGCCUGACGCAGCGACGCCGCGUGGGGGAUGAAGCCCUUCGGGGUGUAAACCCCUUUCGACCCGGACGAAUCGCCCGCAAGGGAAUUGACGGUACGGGUAGAAGAAGCCCCGGCUAACUACGUGCCAGCAGCCGCGGUAAAACGUAGGGGGCCAGCGUUGCUCGGAAUUACUGGGCGUAAAGGGUUCGUAGGCGGUGCGGCAAGUCGGAAGUGAAAUCUCAGGGCUUAACUCUGAGGCUGCUCCCGAAACUGCCGUGCUCGAGUGCGGGAGAGGCGAGUGGAAUUGCAGGUGUAGCGGUGAAAUGCGUAGAUAUCUGCAGGAACACCAGUGACGAAGGCGGCUCGCUGGACCGCAACUGACGCUGAGGAACGAAAGCUAGGGGAGCAAACAGGAUUAGAUACCCUGGUAGUCCUAGCCCUAAACGAUCAGGACUUGGGGUGCAUCUCGUUCGGGGUGCGUCCCGGAGCUAACGCGUUAAGUCCUGCGCCUGGGGAGUACGG